RNAcentral lists this transfer RNA (68 nucleotides) under Gammarus martensi. RNAcentral describes it as "tRNA-Val". The record is from RNAcentral. Lineage: Eukaryota; Metazoa; Arthropoda; Malacostraca; Amphipoda; Gammaridae.
GGUGGAUAAGUUUCACUUACAAUGAAGAUAACCUUAAGGGCACUCUUAUAUUUAUGAGUAAGCUAUAA